Long non-coding RNA from Planococcus citri (citrus mealybug), 748 nucleotides. RefSeq lists it as uncharacterized. The record is from RefSeq and is a predicted model, not a curated record. Lineage: Eukaryota; Metazoa; Arthropoda; Insecta; Hemiptera; Pseudococcidae. The transcript is spliced from 2 exons.
CAACCAUCAUCUAUUGGUAUUAUUGAUUUUUUCUCGGUUGUUUGUCGCGAUUAAAAAUAAUUUUGUUCUAGUUCGGACACUGUUUCAAUUUCCAGUAUCUUCGUUCAAUCAAAUAAGACAAGAAAACGAGAUUAUUUUCGAAUCUUUUGAUAUCUACUGCAGUUUGCAACGAAUUUUCAAAGCGGCUGCAACAGUACUCAAGAAGAGAACAGAUAAGCUGACAAAACACCAUCACUUUCAGACACACCUUUUUGCAUUUUCAACAAGGCCGUAAUGCGUUCGAUACUUAUGAUUAUCCUAUUACUCGUAUUAUCAACAUCAACACCGAUUAUUGCGCAAAGCCCACCCUCAGCACCGGUCAUCGAAGUAUUUCACCGCGAAAUAUGCCAACUUAGAAAACAGUAUCCAUUUUUCCGUCAAAUAAUAACCGAUCAGUAUAAUUUAUGUACUUCUAAGUCAUGGAAAGAACGCGUAGAAAUAUAUAAGAAAGAAAAUAACUGGGAAUCCAAAAACACUUUAAAUUGUUCUCCCACUGUCUCGCUCAUUUUGAAAAAUUCUCAAUUAGCUAUUUUCCACACUAUGUUUUGUCCAUUGUAAUGAACAGCGUUUGUUUUAGUUUACUAGAUGAAAAUUAAGCUUUUUGCAAAUAAUAAUGCACAUAUCUACCUUGUUUUACUUUCCUAUCAAAUACUCAUUCUGUAAUUCAUUCAAUAUACAUAAAUGUAAUAUACGUACUCGUAGAUACCAA